This 2659-nucleotide long non-coding RNA is filed under the name Diabrotica virgifera virgifera (western corn rootworm). RNAcentral describes it as "uncharacterized LOC126879786". Lineage: Eukaryota; Metazoa; Arthropoda; Insecta; Coleoptera; Chrysomelidae. The record is from RNAcentral.
AAUAGUGAUUAGAGCGUCUCUGGAAACCAUAAAAUAUUUACUUUUUUUUUAUUUCUUCACAAAAAAUCAUUGGGUAUCUGAUAUAGUCGGUUCGCUAAACUCAGACACAACUGCCUAGUGAUUUUAGUAAGUAAUUUUGCCAAUUUGGUAAAAUUGGCAAAAAAAUAAUUACUAAAUAGUUAAAAAAAUAAGAAAAUCUACGGUUUCGUUUUGAUUAAAAUCUGUCUUCCUCCAUCCCCCGAUAGCACUAUUUCUAGGUCUACCUGUUGUCAAGGAGGCUCUAAGGAAGACAGAUUUUUACCAUUCCGACCGUAGAUUGUCGAUAUAAAUUAAAAUAAGUUAUAUCGCAGUAUGGAUAGAACGCCCUCUAACGGGGAAUAAGCGAAAUGAAUUUCGACUCAAUUCAAGCUUUCUGCUUAACCCAGGUAUAACAUACCAAAAGGCACCGCCAGGAAAACAUUCCACUUUGCGGUUCAGAGAGCCCAUAUGAAACUAGUCUUUGUACUCUAUGCAGAGUAUGGCAUUAACAAAAUAAGAAAAUCUACGGUUUCGUUUUGAUUAAAAUCUGUCUUCCUCCAUCCCCCGAUAGCACUAUUUCUAGGUCUACCUGUUGUCAAGGAGGCUCUAAGGAAGACAGAUUUUUACCAUUCCAUUAAAUAGUUAAUAAUUACUAAAUAUUUUGUAAUUUUGCCAAUUUUGGUAAAAUUGGCAAAAAACAAAACAAUUACUGACUAAAAUCACUAGCCAGUUGUAUCUGAGUUUAGAGAACCGACUAUACCCAUGUGUGCGGUUUAUUAAAAAAAAUAGGUGUGAUCUUCCAGGGUUAAGUUAGAUUUAUAGUUUGACGUAGCGUAGACGUAGACGCAAUGUAGACGUAAGAAACGGACUGGAGACGGAAGAAAAUAUUAUGUCAAUUUAUAGAUCGACGUAGCGGAAUUCUUGCGCAUGAGUAGAAAGAGUAAACAAUGACUUAAUUCUAAUUCAACAACAUAGCCUAUAAAUUAUACGAACAGUAAACAAACUUUGUGUUUAUUUAUUUAUACUUAUACUAUUAUUUAUUAUAAUAUUUAUCUGUUUUGUGUGUUACAUGGAUUAGGAAAUAAACGAAAGUAUGCUCUUUGGUGCCGCAUGCCGUGGGAUUUCCAACUAUUUUGUUUCAUUUCCUGGUCUUUAAAUGUUUAUUGGAUUUACCUAUCGUAUAAUAUGUGUGGAUAACCACGAAUUAGGCUAAUAAACAACUCAUAUUUAUCUGAAAUAUUGAAAUGACUCUAUGAUAUAUUUUUAUUAAAUUAAUAACUUAACAUCCAUUGUAUUAACAAAUAAUUAACAAAAUUCGAAUAUGUUGACAAUCAACUUUUUACACAACACAAGGAAUGAGGGGACGGGGCGGGUCCACUUUGAGUGACAGAACAAAAUUCUGCCUUAUGAUUGGCCAGACGGAAGAAACGCACUGUAAAAGAUGAAAGUUGGUCAUCUCUUAUGUUACGUUACGUUUCUCUUACGUUCCGUCAGGCGCUUGCGUUCAUCUAUAAACACGAGUACACAAAAUUCGGUGUUGAUCUUUUCCAGUGCGUCUCCGUUGCGUCUACGUCUACGCUACGUCAAACUAUAAAUCCAACUUUAAUGCAGUAACGAAUAGUCACCCUUAGCCUUUCGUUAGAUUAGGUUCAAUUUUAAAUUAUAUCCAAAGUUUAAAGGUACUUUACUAAAUGAUAAAUCUAAUUAAACCGAAAUAUCUUGCAACGAAUAGUAAUUAAAUAAGUUUUAUGUUUAUUUGUGUAUGCAGCUUAAAGUCGACUUUACAUUACAUGAUUUAUCAUGUGAUUUGUCAUAUGAUUUGGUCAUGGAGUGAAAUUUACAUGUUUACACUGUGUGAUUUGUCAUAUGAUUUUGCAUUGUUUAUACGGCUCGUUUUGUCAUAAGCAUUGUCAUGCGGCUCGUCAUGGGAAAAAUCAUAGGACAAAUCACAAUGAUAAAUCAUGUAGUGUAAAGUCGACUUAAGACCAUGGACCAUGAGAAUUAGUGUGUAGCUGGCUUAAGCUGACAGAUCACAGUGACAUGACACAUGACAGCGCAAACAAAAACAAAGCACUGAUGUCAAAACAGGAAAUUUUUAAAGGAGAAUUAUAGAAAAUUAGAAAAAGUCUGUGUUGAAAUCGUUGAAAUACAGAAUCUGAUAUUUUUAGAGCAUUAUAAAGUGAAUAGAAAGUCAUACAAUUAAUAUUUCCAGCUUAUAUUUACUACUGUCCCCAUUCUCGCAGAUUGUAAACGGAAUGAUAGAUUCGCCUUAAAUUUUGCAGAGAAUAGGUCUUAUGGUUCCUCAAAGGUGCACAAGAUCUAAGGACGUUAGUCACUUGGAAUUCCAACAAACUAUUGUCUAAAUAGACCUAUAGGACGAAUGUGUCAAUCUGGAAAUGGUUUAGAUGUAGACUUUUUUUCUAGCUCUCUGAAUAGUUUUCGAAAAAAGCUGAAAAAAUCUUUUUAAAAUACAAUGUAGGCUGUCACUGUAAACUGUCAUUUAGGUAUUUAUUCUAUUCAUUUGUCUUGUGUAAAUUAUAUGUAAUUAUUAUUGAGUUCUAAAACUGUUAAUAUGAUAUGAAUUAUUUAAUGAUUGUAAUUAUUGUAAUUGGUAUAACUGUAAAUAAACUAUUUAUUUAUU